This 217-nucleotide ribosomal RNA is filed under the name Salmonella enterica. RNAcentral's name for it is "partial 23S ribosomal RNA". RNAcentral also lists the same sequence under 1 other name. Lineage: Bacteria; Pseudomonadati; Pseudomonadota; Gammaproteobacteria; Enterobacterales; Enterobacteriaceae. The record is from RNAcentral.
GUUCGGGUUGUCAUGCCAAUGGCACUGCCCGGUAGCUAAAUGCGGAAGAGAUAAGUGCUGAAAGCAUCUAAGCACGAAACUUGCCCCGAGAUGAGUUCUCCCUGAGACUUWRRGUCUCCUGAAGGAACGUUGAAGACGACGACGUUGAUAGGCCGGGUGUGUAAGCGCAGCGAUGCGUUGAGCUAACCGGUACUAAUGAACCGUGAGGCUUAACCUU